CAGUGUAAUAGUUUAAUUUUAAGAAUGUAAGCUUUGGGGGUUUAUGGUCUCUUAGUUAGAGUUGACUGA
RNAcentral lists this transfer RNA (69 nucleotides) under Trichobilharzia szidati. Its description in RNAcentral is "tRNA-Pro". The record is from RNAcentral. Lineage: Eukaryota; Metazoa; Platyhelminthes; Trematoda; Strigeidida; Schistosomatidae.